This 519-nucleotide ribosomal RNA is filed under the name Triticum aestivum (bread wheat). Its description in RNAcentral is "partial small subunit ribosomal RNA". Lineage: Eukaryota; Viridiplantae; Streptophyta; Magnoliopsida; Poales; Poaceae. The record is from RNAcentral.
AUGGCGACACCACCCGCGGCGGAGACAACGCAGGAGACCUCGGGAUCGACCAAAACCAGUUCAGCGAGGGAGAAACUCGAGGAAGCUUUGGGGAAGCUAGACAUAUCCGAGGAAGAGGCGACUCCCCUCGUGAUAGAUGAUCGCCUGGAUGGUGCUCCGGCGAAGUGGUUGCUGGCGGGUAAGGUCCUGUAUCGAAACCAGUAUCAUAUCCACACCAUCGGCAAUGCUUUGAGACCGGCUUGGGGAAACCCUAGAGGAUUGCAGUUCCGCUCGACUGGAGCAAACAUGCUUGUCGCUGAAUUUGAGUCUCAGCGAGAUCGUGACAGAGUUUGGGCAGGAUCGCCUUGGCACAUCAACAAGAACACGGUCAUCUUGGCCGAGUUUGAAGAGUGCAUGCGCCCAGAUGAGGUCAAGUUCGAUCGCUUGCAUGUGUGGGCUAGGGUUCUUAACCUACCCUACAAUCUGAGAGAUGAUGCAUGGAGCCCCCCAAUAGCACGUAUGAUUGAUAAGGAGGUUUAG